This is a long non-coding RNA of Eufriesea mexicana, 1326 nucleotides long. RefSeq lists it as uncharacterized. The record is from RefSeq and is a predicted model, not a curated record. Lineage: Eukaryota; Metazoa; Arthropoda; Insecta; Hymenoptera; Apidae. The transcript is spliced from 4 exons.
CAACGUUUCUCUCGGUAGAAAGCGAGAGAUGUUUUCUUAAUUUGUCAAGGAAAUAAAUCAGUGGAACAUUGUUCGUGUUGUACUUCAAUCUGUCUUGCACCGAGUGGAAAGGGCCGAAUGUAGAAAGUAAAUUAAAUGUCAAGGAUGGAAGAAACAAAUACGUCGUAUUUAGUACAGUGUUUUCACUGCGCAUUUAAUUUCUAUAGUCUGGAUAAUUUUCGAAAUAUUUGAUGUUUCGUGUGCAAUAAAACGCAAUCAACAUGGAGGUUAUGUGUCAAUUAUUGUCACAUAUUUACGAAACUCUAAUGAGACGCUGAACUUAAAGUAAAUAACCGUGGAACAGAUAUAUUGCUCUGAAUCAUACAAAAAAAUAAAGGAGGAACAAAGUUAUUCAUUCGACUUUUCAACGCGAAUACUCUCGGUAAGAAAGAAGCCAUUUCACGUCUUCAUUUAUAAAAAGAAAAUAUUUUCAAAAAAAUGAGACAAAUAAAUUACAAAUCACGGAAUAAAGAACAGAGCAAUAGCGACUGUAUAAAAGUUUGUUUACUGCUUUUUUAAUUGGCACAAAGAGAAAAUCCAUCUCAUACAUUGCUCUCUGGUUACAAUUAACAUGAGUUUUAUGUUUACACGCAUCGGAAAACUACCUCCUCGACAAAGACAAAGCAGCUUGCGGUUGUAGAAGAUUAAUUGCGUUAUAAAAUGGCGUCCUUGUCACAGUGCAGACCGGCCUAACAAAGAAUGCUAUUGAGUAAGAUAGAAAGUCAGUGUUCUCCAAAUUCAUAAAUUGGACCACUGUGACGAUCAAUGCCACGUUUGACACGCGGUUUUAACGUAAACGGAGGAACGAAGAUAGGGAAAAAUCGCGGCUUAUCACUGUAUUUCUCGCGUGUUCCGCCAUCUGUCCCAUGCGCGUGCGCAUUCUAUCUGACGAAAGAAUUUCAACGAGACGUGUCAGCGUACGCGAAUUCCCGUGCUGACGAAAAUACACCGGUGAAAAGUUUACGUUCCGCCGACUACAUGUCUGGUCCGGUGAUGUGUCGCGUGCAUGUUUCUCAUGUAAACACGCUAUAGUUAGAGACAGUGAGUAACAUUUUCAACGGACUCGUGUCCGGGAAAAACUCGUUACCAAAAUGAGAUAAUUAUCGCGUGGAUCUAGGAUCGACGAAAAUUUGUAAAAUUCUUCGAAUUAUUUGGAAAUAUAUUUAACGCGAAUUUUGGCCGAUUUACAUGUAACGUAGAGGUACUGUUAACACUGAACCCACUACAGACUAAACGACCGUUCUCAACAUUUUGGAUUAAAAAUUCUGCAUUCAGUGUUAUCAGUUA